AUACAAGUAGUAGGGAAAGGAACUGGACCGACCCUUCGGGGAGCUUGUACAGGUGCUGCAUGGCUGUCGUCAGCUCGUGUCGUGAGAUGUUCGGUUAAGUCCGCUAACGAGCCGCAACCCUUCGCUGUGUGUUACAAGUGUCACACGGAACUGCCGGUCAUAAACCGGAGGAAGGUGGGGAUGACGUCAAGUCAGCAUGGCCUUUAUAUCCUGGGCUACACACACGCUACAAUGGGAAGGGACAAUAGGUUGCGAAGCCGCGAGGCGGAGCCAAUCCAGCAAAACUUCCCUCAGUUCAGAUUGCAGGCUGCAACUCGCCUGCAUGAAGUUGGAGUUGCUAGUAAACGCAGGUCAGCCAUACUGCGUUGAAUACGUUCCCGGGGCUU
This 386-nucleotide ribosomal RNA is filed under the name uncultured Anaerolineaceae bacterium. RNAcentral's name for it is "bacterial SSU rRNA". It matches the Rfam family "Bacterial small subunit ribosomal RNA", at positions 986 to 1382 of the family's 1533-position model. Lineage: Bacteria; Bacillati; Chloroflexota; Anaerolineae; Anaerolineales; Anaerolineaceae. The record is from RNAcentral.